Molecule: ribosomal RNA, 774 nt
Filed under: uncultured Neocallimastigales
Lineage: Eukaryota; Fungi; Neocallimastigomycota; Neocallimastigomycetes; Neocallimastigales
Description: partial large subunit ribosomal RNA
Rfam family: Eukaryotic large subunit ribosomal RNA
Source: RNAcentral
UGUGUAUCAGUACAUGGCAUAUCAAUAAGCGGAGGAAAAGAAACUAACAAGGAUUCCCUUAGUAACGGCGAGUGAAGCGGGAAGAGCUCAAAUUUGAAAUCUUCAAGGUUCUACCUUGACGAAUUGUAGUUUAUAGAAGUGUUUUCUGUUAGUGGAGUGGCAAAAGUUCUUUGGAAUAGGACAUCAUAGAGGGUGAGAAUCCCGUAUUUGGUCAUUCCUCCUAGCGUUGUGAUACACUUUCAACGAGUCGGAUUGUUUGGGAAUGCAGUCCAAAAUGGGUGGUAAAUUUCAUCUAAAGCUAAAUAUUGGCGAGAGACCGAUAGCGAACAAGUACCGUGAGGGAAAGAUGAAAAGAACUUUGAAAAGAGAGUUAAACAGUACAUGAAAUUGUCAAAAGGGAAGCGUUUGACACCAGUGUUGUUUUUCCGAAAAUCAAUUACGAAUGUUUUGUUUUUAAGAAGUUAUGACUUCAUCGGCUUGCUUCUUUCUUUACUGAAACUUUCUUAAUGCACUUUUCGGUUAACAAGUCAACAUCAAUUUCUUUUGUUGUAAAAGGGUAUGAGGAAGGUGGCUUUCUUUUCGGAGAAAGUGUUUAUAGCCUUGUGCCUCUGCAAUCGGAGAGAUUGAGGUCUGCAGCGUAGAUCCUUCGGGGUUAGAUACGUUUGUGCUAAGUUAUAGCUUUUCAUAGACAACUUGUUGACUAUGUUUAGUCUUGUAGCUUACUCGCUUAUGCUAUUUUACCUACGCUUAGGAUGUUGACAGCAGUAUAGCUGU